AUCUUUAUUCAUCGGUGGCGCAAAAGCUUUUCACAACACUCAUACGAAUGAAACAUAACAUGAACAUAAAAUUGGACAGGGUAGGAUAAUUUAUAUUUAUUACGAAUCUUCUAAUUUGGUUGUCCUGAUUUGGUUACCAAAAAUAAGUUGACUUACUUUGUUUAAGUGCGCAUCGCACUGUAUUCUAUAUACACUACGUAUUUUUCCACAUUUUAAUUAUUUCACACACUAAAAUACUCUAAAAAAUCAGUUAAAAUAUUUAUAAAUUCUCGACUUUUGUUAAAUUUUGAGGGCUGUUGGAGAUUUGUACAAUCGUUCUUUUGGCGGUGCCGUGCUCUUUGCCAUCGUAAGUCUUAUCUGUUGUUACCUCGCAGAGACAUCGUAAAAUAAAAUCUCGAAUAUUAGUAGAUAGAAGAAAACCAGUAAGCUUGUUAUAAUAUCGUAUUGUCUUUAUUUGAUAUAUAUUCAGGACAACAAAGUGUAUUUGUCAUCUCUACCGGUUAACUACCAAAUCUUUUGUUUUCUUUACCAGUAAUGCAUAGGUAAAUAACGGAGCUUAAAUAAAAUUAAAAAGUAGAGGGAUGGUCAAAUAGUGAUGUUCUCUUUUGCCGACAGGCCCAUACUUAGUUCUAAAUCCAGAUGUUUUGUGUGUAACUGAAAUGUUCUUAUAGAAAUUAUAAAAAAAAAACAACUGUUCAUUAAAUCCAUUUUGUAUUACAUAGUAUUUUCAUUUUGUGUUAUUCUGUUCGACGUUACCAUCACUAUAAUUUCUUCUUAUAUCUCUACGUAUUUGUAUAUGAAGUAUAUUGAAGGUGAUCACACUGCAUACUCCUUACACCUGAGUCCAGAACAAGAACAAGAAUUUUUAUCAACGUCAGGAUUACUUCAUCAAGUUUAUGCGAUGGAUUUUAAAGUGACAGUCGCUGCCAUCGUAUUAUUGGUAGUCAUUAUUGUUAUUGUUAGUGCAAUUACCUUAGAUUUAAUAACAUAUGUAUAUAUUUGAUAUUUAAUAUAAUUAAAUUCAGAUGUAUUUGUAAAUAGGUUAUUAAAAUAUUUAAAUCAAAAUGUACUCUGUUGGGACAUUACCAAAAUUUCAUAAUUCGUAACUAAAUUGUGAUCUGGUUUUUUAUAAUAGAUUGGAAUAGUGUUAUUGCUACAACCUAAAAAAUUAUAUAACUCUUAGAAAUUAAUAAAUCAGUUAAUACGUUGUAAUUGAUUAAUUAUAGUAAACUGCCAAUCAUUUAAUACCCUAAUAAAUGAUGUGUUUACAUAAUAACAUUUAAAUAAAGUCUAAUAAAUUACGAUUUACGUUUAAAAGUAAACAGCAUAUCUCUUGUAUUGAUAAUUUUAUGAUUUCAACUAUUUUUACGGCAUU
Molecule: long non-coding RNA, 1375 nt
Organism: Drosophila gunungcola (fruit fly)
Lineage: Eukaryota; Metazoa; Arthropoda; Insecta; Diptera; Drosophilidae
Exons: 2
Source: RefSeq, a predicted model, not a curated record